GAUGAACGCUGGCGGUGUGCCUAAUACAUGCAAGUCGAACGGGCUCUUCGGAGCUAGUGGCGGACGGGUGAGUAACACGUUGGUACCUACCCCUAAGUGGGGAAUAACUGCCCGAAAGGGUGGCUAAUACCGCAUAAUCCCGCAAGGGUAAAGCAGUAAUGCGCUUAGGGAGGGGCCUGCGUCUGAUUAGCUAGUUGGUAGUGUAAUGGACUACCAAGGCUACGAUCAGUAGCUGGAUCGAGAGGUUGACCAGCCACACUGGGACUGAGAUACGGCCCAGACUCCUACGGGAGGCAGCAGUAAGGAAUCUUCCACAAUGGACGAAAGUCUGAUGGAGCAACACCGCGUGCAGGAUGACGGUCUUCGGAUUGUAAACUGCUUUUAUAUGGGAAGAUUAUGACGGUACCAUAUGAAUAAGGACCGGCUAACUACGUGCCAGCCGCCGCGGUAAU
RNAcentral lists this ribosomal RNA (452 nucleotides) under uncultured bacterium. Its description in RNAcentral is "bacterial SSU rRNA". It matches the Rfam family "Bacterial small subunit ribosomal RNA", at positions 28 to 524 of the family's 1533-position model. The record is from RNAcentral.